UGGACUAAGGACUCUCGCCUGCGUGGGAAU
This 30-nucleotide non-coding RNA is filed under the name Mus musculus (house mouse). The record is from RNAcentral. Lineage: Eukaryota; Metazoa; Chordata; Mammalia; Rodentia; Muridae.